Molecule: long non-coding RNA, 1141 nt
Organism: Passer domesticus (house sparrow)
Lineage: Eukaryota; Metazoa; Chordata; Aves; Passeriformes; Passeridae
Exons: 6
Source: RefSeq, a predicted model, not a curated record
UCACAGGGGCACAGAGCAUCACAGGGGCACAGAGCAUCACAGCUCUGCAGUCAGCAGCCUCUCUCCUUGUUCAGUGAGCUGCAAUGCCAAGAAAUCCCUGCCAUUCUCUCCCCUGGUGACAGCUGAGGUGGCACUCCUGGCUCCCCAGCCUCAGCGUGGGCCAGGUGCAUCGCUCAGUGCCACACACUGGAUAGAAGUCUUGUGAGGCACUCCUACCACAGGGAUAGAAGAUCCACAGCUUCUCCAGGUAACCCGUACCAGGCCUCACCAUCCUCACAAUAAAGACUUCCUUCCUGAACUCCUUUUCAGCUCUCUUGCAGCCCAUCUUGCUACUGGAAAACUUGCUCUUCUCCUGGCUGAACAAACCCAAUUCUCUCAGGCUGUCUUCACAGAAAUGCUCCAGCUCUCUGAUCACUUCCAUGGCCCUCCUCUGGACAUGCUCCAUCAGAUGGACUCAGCCAGAAACCUAAACCACCGCAGCUGGAUCCAGCAAAGCCAGGGCUUGGCUGGGCAGCUUGCCUCCUCUCUGUCUCACAGGACAGAUCCCAGACUCCAGAUAACCUUGAAAAGCCCUGCUUACAAUAUCACUGAAACACCAUGGACUUCCAGAGAUCAGCAUCCAAAUUCUGCACAGAGAUUAAGCUGUGUUUUUAAUGCUCUCCACAACUGGAAACAGAAAAAAGUUGAGGAGCUUUCUGUUUCAGACAGCCUCUUCCGUCCUGGAUGAACACUCCUUUCCCUGAGUCCUCGCACUCAGCUCCCUGCAGAUGCACCUCAGAUGCUCCAGUCAGCCUUGUGCAGAGCCCAGUUAUCAAGCUGCAUUGUACAAAUGGAUUUCCAAAUGUAUGAUAAACAUGUCUGGAAACUAUUACUAUCCUCACGAGUAUUUGUGUCCCACAAGAGUUGAAACGAGAAUCCUGACAAUGUGAAGAGAUUUACCUCACUGGGAUGUUACAUAGAUUUCAUAUGUUUCAACAUAAUAUUGUUAAGGUAUAUAUUAUAAUGAAAAUACAACUUGUCACAUGCUCAUUUCUGUCCCAUCCGUGCCACUUCCCUAAAGAAGGAGCCCUGCAGACAGAAGGGUUUCAAAACACGUCUGCAGUUACUGCUCUGGAGCUGUGCUCUGUCAGAGGCUUGGUGU